This is a long non-coding RNA of Drosophila navojoa, 1074 nucleotides long. The record is from RefSeq and is a predicted model, not a curated record. NCBI's taxonomy places the organism in Eukaryota, Metazoa, Arthropoda, Insecta, Diptera, Drosophilidae.
UCCAGUUUCCAACAUUCCAGUUGUAUUUAUUUUUUAAUGUGUUGUUGUGUGCGUUGGUACAGAAAACGGCGGAGCAUUUCACUUGCCGGACAAUUUUAGCGCGUUUUUUUUUAAGCAUUCGGGAAAACAAACUGAAAACAAUUAAAGAAAAGUGAAGUAUAGACAAUUUGGCAAAAAUGAACAAUUGUUAAAUGCAAAGCCGAAAUAUGGGAAACGAAAUAUAAUUAUAUACACGCAUAUACAUACAUAUAUAUCUAUAUAUAAAUAUACAAAUAUAUUUAUAGUGCACUCGUGUGCGUCUGUGUGCGUUUCACAAAUGCCGACAAAUUGGAGCGGCAAAGUGUUAAAUAUACGAAAUGCAUUGUAACUGAUGCAACAAUUGUGGCAAAAGGCAUCAAAAUAUUUAUAAAAGACAAUAUACAUAUGUAUGUAUGUGCGGCAUACGGACAGACAGACGUGUGUGUAUGUAUGUAUAGAGACCGCCGUUUGCUGUAGCCGUAGCUUUGUGUGCGUGUGUGUGUUUGAGUGAGUACGAGUGUCUGUAUGAGCGUGCCAGCCAACCAGCCAAGCAGCCAAUGUGUGUAUGGGGCUGUGUGUGUGCGCGUAUAAUCAUGUGAAAAAUCGAUUGGAAAGCACUGGAAGUCAGUCAGUCGUAUGGUCAUUGGAACGGCCCAGCGGCAGCGGUGGCGGCGCCAAUUGUCAUUUACUAUCAAGCAAGAAGAAGAAACGUGCGCACGCACCAAAAGUAGCCACCAAAAAAAGAAAGAAAAGGAAGACAAAAAUACAGUCAACUGAUCUAAAACGAAAAUAAAGCGAUUCGCAAACACGCAACGGCAUUUUUGCACAAUAACAUUGAAUACAAAUAAGACGAAAAAGAGAAAAAUUCACGAAUAGUUGCGUCUAGGCGAGAACCGCAGUGAAAGGUGCGCAAUUUCAUUUAGCUGAGACACAAACCAAAUCAGGAAUAAGAGGAAGAGCUGGCAGCCAGGAAAAAUAGCUGAGGCAGCGUCAACGGCAGCGGUCAACAUUUAGAAGCAUAUUGCAAAUUGAUUGACAAGCAAAAAAAAAAAAAAA